Molecule: ribosomal RNA, 492 nt
Filed under: uncultured bacterium
Lineage: Bacteria
Description: partial 16S ribosomal RNA
Rfam family: Bacterial small subunit ribosomal RNA
Source: RNAcentral
AGUGAACGCUGGCGGUAGGCCUAACACAUGCAAGUCGAACGGCAGCACAGUAAGAGCUUGCUCUUACGGGUGGCGAGUGGCGGACGGGUGAGGAAUACAUCGGAAUCUACUUUUUCGUGGGGGAUAACGUAGGGAAACUUACGCUAAUACCGCAUACGACCUACGGGUGAAAGCAGGGGAUCUUCGGACCUUGCGCGAUUGAAUGAGCCGAUGUCGGAUUAGCUAGUUGGCGGGGUAAAGGCCCACCAAGGCGACGAUCCGUAGCUGGUCUGAGAGGAUGAUGAGCCACACUGGAACUGAGACACGGUCCAGACUCCUACGGGAGGCAGAGGCGGGGAAUAUUGGAAAAUGGGCGCAAGCCUGAUCCAGGCAUACCGGGUGGGUGAAGAAGGCCUUCGGGUUGUAAAGCCCUUUUGUUGGGAAAGAAAAGCAGCAGGUUAAUACCCCGCUGUUCUGACGGUACCCAAAGAACAAGCACCGGCUAACUUCGUG